This 506-nucleotide ribosomal RNA is filed under the name uncultured bacterium. RNAcentral describes it as "partial 16S ribosomal RNA". It matches the Rfam family "Bacterial small subunit ribosomal RNA", at positions 28 to 523 of the family's 1533-position model. The record is from RNAcentral.
GAUGAACGCUAGCUACAGGCUUAACACAUGCAAGUCGAGGGGUAACGAGAGGAAAGCUUGCUUUCCUUGUCGACGACCGGCGCACGGGUGAGUAACGCGUAUCCAACCUGCCCCCAACUAGGGAAUAACCUUGCGAAAGUAAGACUAAUACCCUAUAAUUUCCUCAGAUGCCAUCUGACGAGGAAUAGAGAUUUAUCGGUUGUGGAUGGGGAUGCGUCUGAUUAGCUUGUUGGCGGGGUAACGGCCCACCAAGGCAACGAUAAGUAGGGGUUCUGAGAGGAAGGUCCCCCACAUUGGAACUGAGACACGGCCCAAACUCCUACGGGAGGCAGCAGUGAGGAAUAUUAGUCAAUGGGCGGAAGCCUGAACCAGCCAAGUAGCGUGCAGGAUGACGGCCCUAUGGGUUGUAAACUGCUUUUAUACAGGAAUAAAGUUAGCCACGUGUGGUUAUUUGUAGGUACUGUAUGAAUAAGGACCGGCUAAUUCCGUGCCAGCCGCCGCCGUAA